AUGAUCUCCGAUUUGGAAUUCCAGAUCCCGCCUCCUGAUAUCAGCAUAACUCUUCUGUCUGCUCUGAGCUGCCCGAAGUCGUUCUCUGAUCAGCUGAACCUUCUCCACUGUCUGCUGAAUAAUCUCUGGACCCAGAUUUUCCUCUCCCCCACAUCAUCCCAACAAAUAAGAGAUCCAUAGAAUCAACAACAUUCUCCUGAAACUAACUCAAGUAUUUCAUCAUAAUGCCUUUUAGAUCAAAUAUUAAUGAUCUUAACCAAUUUCAAAAUAAGUCAAACCACCACACUUCCGCUGCACACUCUGAUUUAAUUCAUUUAAUUCUCUAAAGUCACAAAAUAAUUUCUGACUAAAGUAUCACUUUGCAUUGAGACUAAGAAACUCCAAAUUUCAAAUUUCCAAGUAGAACUAGAGCAAAACCUCUAGAUCUUUUUGUCCUCAAUUUAUAUAGAGUAUACUUACCAUAACUAACCCCCAAUCCUUUAGUCAAGUUUAAGGUCAC
RNAcentral lists this long non-coding RNA (499 nucleotides) under Phoenix dactylifera (date palm). RNAcentral describes it as "long non-coding RNA (PDAC_LNC022728)". Lineage: Eukaryota; Viridiplantae; Streptophyta; Magnoliopsida; Arecales; Arecaceae. The record is from RNAcentral.